Molecule: ribosomal RNA, 630 nt
Filed under: uncultured bacterium
Lineage: Bacteria
Description: bacterial SSU rRNA
Rfam family: Bacterial small subunit ribosomal RNA
Source: RNAcentral
AGUCGAACGGUAACAGAAAGCAGCUUGCUGCUUUGCUGACGAGUGGCGGACGGGUGAGUAAUGUCUGGGAAACUGCCUGAUGGAGGGGGAUAACUACUGGAAACGGUAGCUAAUACCGCAUAACGUCGCAAGACCAAAGAGGGGGACCUUCGGGCCUCUUGCCAUCGGAUGUGCCCAGAUGGGAUUAGCUAGUAGGUGGGGUAACGGCUCACCUAGGCGACGAUCCCUAGCUGGUCUGAGAGGAUGACCAGCCACACUGGAACUGAGACACGGUCCAGACUCCUACGGGAGGCAGCAGUGGGGAAUAUUGCACAAUGGGCGCAAGCCUGAUGCAGCCAUGCCGCGUGUAUGAAGAAGGCCUUCGGGUUGUAAAGUACUUUCAGCGGGGAGGAAGGGAGUAAAGUUAAUACCUUUGCUCAUUGACGUUACCCGCAGAAGAAGCACCGGCUAACUCCGUGCCAGCAGCCGCGGUAAUACGGAGGGUGCAAGCGUUAAUCGGAAUUACUGGGCGUAAAGCGCACGCAGGCGGUUUGUUAAGUCAGAUGUGAAAUCCCCGGGCUCAACCUGGGAACUGCAUCUGAUACUGGCAAGCUUGAGUCUCGUAGAGGGGGGUAGAAUUCCAGGUGUAGC